AGGCUAGGAUAGUGCCCAGCAGCCCAUACAGAGCAUAUGGAAUGGUACAGAGAAGAUUAGCAUGGCCUCUGUACAAUGAUGGUACGAAAAUCCAUGAAGAGGCCCAUAGUUUU
This is a small nuclear RNA of Peromyscus maniculatus bairdii (prairie deer mouse), 113 nucleotides long. The record is from Ensembl. Lineage: Eukaryota; Metazoa; Chordata; Mammalia; Rodentia; Cricetidae.